This 227-nucleotide long non-coding RNA is filed under the name Panax ginseng (ginseng). RNAcentral's name for it is "long non-coding RNA (PGIN_LNC016849)". The record is from RNAcentral. Lineage: Eukaryota; Viridiplantae; Streptophyta; Magnoliopsida; Apiales; Araliaceae.
UUUGUCCCUUUUAGUAGAGAGUGUGAAAGAUACGAAAGACACGGUUGAAGAAAGGGCUAUAGUUAAAACCAAAUCAAGCUUAGUUGUUGGGCGUGAUUAUGAUUCAGUUAACGCAACAUAAAGAGGCACAUAUCAUGAAAAUUAAGAUUGAUCAUGAGAUUGUUCGUAUCAUUUAUUCGCCAACGUGAAAAAUUUUGAUUUCCUCAUUCCUAAACAUUUGUUUGAAG